This 367-nucleotide transfer-messenger RNA is filed under the name Actinomycetota bacterium. It matches the Rfam family "transfer-messenger RNA". From Rfam's summary of the family: Bacterial tmRNA, also known as 10Sa RNA or SsrA, is named for its dual tRNA and mRNA-like properties. Its role is to liberate the mRNA from a stalled ribosome. The record is from RNAcentral. Lineage: Bacteria; Bacillati; Actinomycetota.
GGGGGUGAUCGGUUUCGACGGUGGUCCUGUCACCAGGGGAAGCGGGCCGAGGACGCACGGUUAUCUCGUUAACGAUCCGCGCAAACCAAUAGGUGCCAACUCCAAGAGCACCGACCUCGCCCUCGCCGCCUGAGCGAGCGCAUAGGUCCGUCAGCCUGAGGUAGUUCUCGACUCAGUGUCUGGCGUCAGCUAGAGAACUUGCUGCGCAGUCAUGCCGAGGGGCUGCGUGGGACUCUUACUCGGCUGGGCCUGUCAGGGAACGCGUGCGUGCGAGCCCUGGGGCCGAGAAACUCCAUAGCGCACUGCGCCCGGAGAAGUCCUGGUCUCAUGUCAUCGGACGCGGGUUCGAUUCCCGCCACCUCCACUC